GUCGACGAUUACUCCUACGGGAGGCAGCAGUGGGGAAUAUUGCACAAUGGGCGCAAGCCUGAUGCAGCAACGCCGCGUGAGUGAUGAAGGCCCUCGGGUCGUAAAACUCUGUCCUAAGGGAAGAUAAUGACGGUACCUUAGGAGGAAGCCCCGGCUAACUACGUGCCAGCAGCCGCGGUAAUAAUCUCUAGA
This 192-nucleotide ribosomal RNA is filed under the name uncultured bacterium. RNAcentral's name for it is "partial 16S ribosomal RNA". It matches the Rfam family "Bacterial small subunit ribosomal RNA", at positions 325 to 531 of the family's 1533-position model. The record is from RNAcentral.